Molecule: ribosomal RNA, 400 nt
Filed under: uncultured bacterium
Lineage: Bacteria
Description: bacterial SSU rRNA
Rfam family: Bacterial small subunit ribosomal RNA
Source: RNAcentral
GGGGAAUAUUGGACAAUGGGCGAAAGCCUGAUCCAGCAAUGCCGCGUGAGUGAAGAAGGUCUUCGGAUUGUAAAGCUCUUUCGACGGGGACGAUGAUGACGGUACCCGUAGAAGAAGCCCCGGCUAACUUCGUGCCAGCAGCCGCGGUAAUACGAAGGGGGCUAGCGUUGCUCGGAAUGACUGGGCGUAAAGGGCGCGUAGGCGGUUUGGACCGUCAGAUGUGAAAUUCCCGGGCCCAACCUGGGGGCUGCAUUUGAUACGUCCAGACCAGAGUGAGGAAGAGGGUUGUGGAAUUCCCAGUGUAGAGGUGAAAUUCGUAGAUAUUGGGAAGAACACCGGUGGCGAAGGCGGCAACCUGGUCCUUGACUGACGCUGAGGCGCGAAAGCGUGGGGAGCAAAC